GAUGAACGCUGGCGGCAUGCCUAAUACAUGCAAGUCGAACGGACUACACCAUGACCUUGAAAGUGCUUGCACUAGAUUGUGAUUGGAUUUUGUAGUUAGUGGCGGACGGGUGAGUAACACGUGGGUUACCUUCCUCAUAGUAUGGAAUAACUAUUGGAAACGAUAGCUAAUACCGUAUAUGACCUUCGGGUUGAAAGGAGCGUUUGCUUUGCUAUGAGAUGGGCCUGGGGCGCAUUAGCUAGUUGGUAAGGUAAAGGCUUACCAAGGCGACGAUGCGUAGCCGGACUGAGAGGUCGAUCGGCCACAUUGGGACUGAGACACGGCCCAAACUUCUACGGGAGGCAGCAGUAGGGAAUUUUCCGCAAUGGACGAAAGUCUGACGGAGCAAUGCCGCGUGAGUGAUGAAGGUUUUCGAAUCGUAAAGCUCUGUUGUAAGGGAAGAAUAGCAUUAGCAGGAAAUGGCUAGUGUGUGACGGUACCUUACCAGAAAGCCACGGCUAACUACGUGCCAGCCGCCGCGGUAA
This 524-nucleotide ribosomal RNA is filed under the name uncultured bacterium. Its description in RNAcentral is "partial 16S ribosomal RNA". It matches the Rfam family "Bacterial small subunit ribosomal RNA", at positions 28 to 523 of the family's 1533-position model. The record is from RNAcentral.